RNAcentral lists this long non-coding RNA (221 nucleotides) under Solanum tuberosum (potato). RNAcentral's name for it is "long non-coding RNA (STUB_LNC009659)". Lineage: Eukaryota; Viridiplantae; Streptophyta; Magnoliopsida; Solanales; Solanaceae. The record is from RNAcentral.
UUCUCUUUGGGCCUUAGGCCCGAUUCUUCUACCUGUCCUAGACUAACACAUAAAUAACAAUUAAAAUGAUAAAGGGCUUAGGCCCAAAGUAACAAAAUACAAUUCUUUGGAAUUAAGAGUGGGCCUUUGGCCCAAUCUUUUCAAUUUCUCGAUCUGUUGCAUAUUCUUUCGACCCCGAAACCUGUUCGUCAAUUUUUAUAGCUGGCCGGUUGACUCGAUAA